RNAcentral lists this ribosomal RNA (2890 nucleotides) under Vibrio parahaemolyticus. RNAcentral's name for it is "bacterial LSU rRNA". It matches the Rfam family "Bacterial large subunit ribosomal RNA". Lineage: Bacteria; Pseudomonadati; Pseudomonadota; Gammaproteobacteria; Vibrionales; Vibrionaceae. The record is from RNAcentral.
GGUUAAGUGACUAAGCGUACACGGUGGAUGCCUUGGCAGUCAGAGGCGAUGAAAGACGUAGUAACUUGCGAUAAGCCCAGAUUAGGUAGUAACAACCAUUUGAGUCUGGGAUUUCUGAAUGGGGAAACCCACGUGCAUAAGCACGUAUCCUUACCUGAAUACAUAGGGUAAGGAGGCGAACCGGGGGAACUGAAACAUCUAAGUACCCCGAGGAAAAGAAAUCAACCGAGAUUCCGAAAGUAGCGGCGAGCGAAAUUGGACUAGCCCUUAAGCUUUACACGCGUUAGACGAACGGUCUGGAAAGUCCGACGAUACAGGGUGAUAGUCCCGUAGUUGACGACGUGUGUUCAGUGAAAUCGAGUAGGGCGGGACACGUGAUAUCCUGUCUGAAUAUGGGGGGACCAUCCUCCAAGGCUAAAUACUACUGACUGACCGAUAGUGAACCAGUACCGUGAGGGAAAGGCGAAAAGAACCCCUGUGAGGGGAGUGAAAUAGAACCUGAAACCGUGUACGUACAAGCAGUAGGAGCAGGCUUUGUCCUGUGACUGCGUACCUUUUGUAUAAUGGGUCAGCGACUUAUAUUCAGUGGCAAGGUUAACCAUCUAGGGGAGCCGUAGGGAAACCGAGUCUUAACUGGGCGUUCAGUCUCUGGAUAUAGACCCGAAACCAGGUGAUCUAGCCAUGGGCAGGUUGAAGGUUGAGUAACAUCAACUGGAGGACCGAACCGACUAAUGUUGAAAAAUUAGCGGAUGACUUGUGGCUAGGGGUGAAAGGCCAAUCAAACCUGGAGAUAGCUGGUUCUCCCCGAAAGCUAUUUAGGUAGCGCCUCGGACGAAUACUACUGGGGGUAGAGCACUGUUAAGGCUAGGGGGUCAUCCCGACUUACCAACCCUUUGCAAACUCCGAAUACCAGUAAGUACUAUCCGGGAGACACACGGCGGGUGCUAACGUCCGUCGUGGAGAGGGAAACAACCCAGACCGCCAGCUAAGGUCCCAAAUUACUACUAAGUGGGAAACGAUGUGGGAAGGCUCAGACAGCCAGGAUGUUGGCUUAGAAGCAGCCAUCAUUUAAAGAAAGCGUAAUAGCUCACUGGUCGAGUCGGCCUGCGCGGAAGAUGUAACGGGGCUAAGUAGUAAACCGAAGCUGCGGCAAUACUCUUUGAGUAUUGGGUAGGGGAGCGUUCUGUAAGCGGUUGAAGGUGUGUGGUAACGCAUGCUGGACGUAUCAGAAGUGCGAAUGCUGACAUGAGUAACGAUAAAGGGGGUGAAAAACCUCCUCGCCGGAAGACCAAGGGUUCCUGUCCAACGUUAAUCGGGGCAGGGUAAGUCGACCCCUAAGGCGAGGCCGAAAGGCGUAGUCGAUGGGAAACGGGUUAAUAUUCCCGUACUUCUUACAAUUGCGAUGGGGGGACGGAGAAGGCUAGGUGGGCCUGGCGACGGUUGUCCAGGUUCAAGUGCGUAGGCUUAAGAGUUAGGUAAAUCCGGCUCUUUUUAAGGCUGAGACACGACGUCGAGCACCUACGGGUGUGAAGUCAUUGAUGCCAUGCUUCCAGGAAAAGCCUCUAAGCUUCAGAUUGUAAGGAAUCGUACCCCAAACCGACACAGGUGGUCGGGUAGAGAAUACCAAGGCGCUUGAGAGAACUCGGGUGAAGGAACUAGGCAAAAUGGUACCGUAACUUCGGGAGAAGGUACGCUCUUGAUGGUGAAGUCCCUCGCGGAUGGAGCUGACGAGAGUCGCAGAUACCAGGUGGCUGCAACUGUUUAUUAAAAACACAGCACUGUGCAAAAUCGUAAGAUGACGUAUACGGUGUGACGCCUGCCCGGUGCCGGAAGGUUAAUUGAUGGGGUUAGACUUCGGUCGAAGCUCUUGAUCGAAGCCCCGGUAAACGGCGGCCGUAACUAUAACGGUCCUAAGGUAGCGAAAUUCCUUGUCGGGUAAGUUCCGACCUGCACGAAUGGCGUAAUGAUGGCCACGCUGUCUCCACCCGAGACUCAGUGAAAUUGAAAUCGCUGUGAAGAUGCAGUGUACCCGCGGCUAGACGGAAAGACCCCGUGAACCUUUACUACAGCUUGGCACUGAACAUUGACCCUACAUGUGUAGGAUAGGUGGGAGGCUUUGAAGCACGUACGCCAGUAUGUGUGGAGCCGUCCUUGAAAUACCACCCUUGUAGUGUUGAUGUUCUAACGUCGACCCCUAAUCGGGGUUGCGGACAGUGCCUGGUGGGUAGUUUGACUGGGGCGGUCUCCUCCCAAAGAGUAACGGAGGAGCACGAAGGUGGGCUAAUCACGGUUGGACAUCGUGAGGUUAGUGCAAUGGCAUAAGCCCGCUUGACUGCGAGAAUGACAAUUCGAGCAGGUGCGAAAGCAGGUCAUAGUGAUCCGGUGGUUCUGAAUGGAAGGGCCAUCGCUCAACGGAUAAAAGGUACUCCGGGGAUAACAGGCUGAUACCGCCCAAGAGUUCAUAUCGACGGCGGUGUUUGGCACCUCGAUGUCGGCUCAUCACAUCCUGGGGCUGAAGUCGGUCCCAAGGGUAUGGCUGUUCGCCAUUUAAAGUGGUACGCGAGCUGGGUUUAGAACGUCGUGAGACAGUUCGGUCCCUAUCUGCCGUGGGCGUUGGAAGAUUGAAGGGGGCUGCUCCUAGUACGAGAGGACCGGAGUGGACGAACCUCUGGUGUUCGGGUUGUGUCGCCAGACGCAUUGCCCGGUAGCUAAGUUCGGAAUCGAUAACCGCUGAAAGCAUCUAAGCGGGAAGCGAGCCCUGAGAUGAGUCUUCCCUGAUACUUUAAGUAUCCUAAAGGGUUGUCGGAGACUACGACGUUGAUAGGUCAGGUGUGUAAGUGCUGUGAGGCAUUGAGCUAACUGAUACUAAUUGCCCGUGAGGCUUAACCAU